GUAUUUAAUUUAUUCAAAAUAAGUGAUAAAAUUUCAAAAUAUUGAUACAAAUAUGAUUUAUGAGUACAUACAACUACAUACAUACUACCUACUUAAUCUACUAUAAAUCUCCAACAGAGGAACAACACAAUGACAAGACGCCAACCAUGUCUAGACCGGUGAUUGACUAGAUACUGCGGGACACUUUACUUAAUAGGAAUGUAGGCUUCUCCGACUUGGGCGUAUCUAAGGAGCCUCAACCUAAAUAUGCCACUGGCUCACUAGCUGUGUAUGAGCACUAUUUAUCUUUCACCACCAAUGAUACCAAUGAUAUAAAUCGAAUUUGAUCACCUGGGUGAGUAUCCAUAGCCCACAACAUGCUUAA
Rhopalosiphum padi (bird cherry-oat aphid) is the source of this 364-nucleotide long non-coding RNA. RefSeq lists it as uncharacterized. Lineage: Eukaryota; Metazoa; Arthropoda; Insecta; Hemiptera; Aphididae. The record is from RefSeq and is a predicted model, not a curated record. The transcript has 3 exons.